AAGUGAUCCUCCUGCCUCAGCCUUCUGAGUAGCCAGGACCACAGGCAUGUGUCCUCAUGCCUGGCUUAUUUUUGUAUUUUUUGUAGUUACGGGGUUUUGCAAUGUUUCCUAGGCUAGGCUCAAACUCUUGGGCCUAAGCAUCUCCUUCAGCCCUGGC
Cebus imitator (Panamanian white-faced capuchin) is the source of this 157-nucleotide long non-coding RNA. RefSeq lists it as uncharacterized. NCBI's taxonomy places the organism in Eukaryota, Metazoa, Chordata, Mammalia, Primates, Cebidae. The record is from RefSeq and is a predicted model, not a curated record. The transcript has 3 exons.